Molecule: ribosomal RNA, 416 nt
Filed under: uncultured bacterium
Lineage: Bacteria
Description: bacterial SSU rRNA
Rfam family: Bacterial small subunit ribosomal RNA
Source: RNAcentral
UGCCUAACACAUGCAAGUCGAACGAGACCUUCGGGUCUAGUGGCGCACGGGUGCGUAACGCGUGGGAAUCUGCCCUUGGGUUCGGAAUAACAGUUAGAAAUGACUGCUAAUACCGGAUAAUGUCUUCGGACCAAAGAUUUAUCGCCCAGGGAUGAGCCCGCGUAGGAUUAGCUAGUUGGUGAGGUAAAGGCUCACCAAGGCGACGAUCCUUAGCUGGUCUGAGAGGAUGAUCAGCCACACUGGGACUGAGACACGGCCCAGACUCCUACGGGAGGCAGCAGUGGGGAAUAUUGGACAAUGGGCGAAAGCCUGAUCCAGCAAUGCCGCGUGAGUGAUGAAGGCCUUAGGGUUGUAAAGCUCUUUUACCCGGGAUGAUAAUGACAGUACCGGGAGAAUAAGCCCCGGCUAACUCCGUG